This is a long non-coding RNA of Ostrea edulis (European flat oyster), 760 nucleotides long. RefSeq lists it as uncharacterized. The transcript has 3 exons. Lineage: Eukaryota; Metazoa; Mollusca; Bivalvia; Ostreida; Ostreidae. The record is from RefSeq and is a predicted model, not a curated record.
CCAAACGAUCAUGCAUUCAGUAUAAAUACGUACAUGGUAUUGACAUCCCAAUAUUUAGUGGGAAGUUUCCAGGUAUCAUCCGCUAGCGACAGUCUACUGACAAAUCCAGACAUGCAUUGGAAGGAUGCUGAUGUGGAGGACACAGGAACACCUGAUCCCAGAACUGUGGCAUUUCAUUCGGGGUGACAACCUGGCUUUCAGUUGGUAUGACUCUUUGAGGUUGAAUAUAGGGUUUAAUCAGUAUAAAUGUGAUUAACAUUCAAAUAAAUCCAGAUAAUACAUUCACAAUUGGAAUCAUGGCAUUAUGGUACACUGAUAUGUGUGUACCAUUUUACUGGGUUUUUUUUUUUUUUUUUUUUUUUUUUGCUGCAUAACUAGGGAUCGUAUACAUACAAAAUGAGACAAUUUCUAAUUAGUUUCUAAUUAUAAGGUAUGACACGUUUUAAGGUAUGGUGGCCAAUACUGAUUUUAUUUUUAUUUGCAAUUUUCUUUCAGAUAUGGGACUCUAUUAUUCGGAAAACUGCAGAUUUUAUGAAGCUGUCUUUGACAGAAGAUUUGGUUUUCUCCAUCUGUGUUGCCACCAACCAUUAUGCUGAGAUAGUCAUAACUAGGGGGAAGGGUUGCCAUAUACUUCCCAAAGAAGUUUGCAGCCUCUCACUGAAGAGGAACUGUACAGAUUUUUGUGCAUUAUCUUAUACACGCCUGCUGUGAAGUUCCAGUCGAUAGACAGAUAUUGGUCAACGCAUGCCCCUGUCGGAAC